Molecule: ribosomal RNA, 463 nt
Filed under: uncultured bacterium
Lineage: Bacteria
Description: bacterial SSU rRNA
Rfam family: Bacterial small subunit ribosomal RNA
Source: RNAcentral
AGGCAGCAGUGGGGAAUUUUGACAAUGGGCGCAAGCCUGAUCCAGCAAUGCCGCGUGCAGGAUGAAGGCCUUCGGGUUGUAAACUGCUUUUGUACGGAGCGAAAAGGCUUCUUCUAAUACAGGAGGCUCAUGACGGUACCGUAAGAAUAAGCACCGGCUAACUACGUGCCAGCAGCCGCGGUAAUACGUAGGGUGCAAGCGUUAAUCGGAAUUACUGGGCGUAAAGCGUGCGCAGGCGGUGAUGUAAGACAGUGGUGAAAUCCCCGGGCUCAACCUGGGAACUGCCAUUGUGACUGCAUCGCUAGAGUACGGUAGAGGGGGGUGGAAUUCCGCGUGUAGCAGUGAAAUGCGUAGAUAUGCGGAGGAACACCGAUGGCGAAGGCAGCCCCCUGGACCUGUACUGACGCUCAUGCACGAAAGCAUGGGGAGCAAACAGGAUUAGAUANCCCUGGUAGUCCAUGCC